This 781-nucleotide small RNA is filed under the name Pan troglodytes (chimpanzee). Its description in RNAcentral is "retained intron". The record is from RNAcentral. Lineage: Eukaryota; Metazoa; Chordata; Mammalia; Primates; Hominidae.
GUGCAGGGAGUAUGUGAGGUGUGUGUGCAGGUGUGCACUUGUGUGCAGGGGGUGGUGUGUGAGGUGUGCCUGCAGGGGGUGUGUCAUGCCCGGGUGCGUGAGGCUGGCAUGGGGUGUGGAGUGUGUGUUUCAGCUUUUGACCUUUUGGGGUCAGCUCUCUAGGGUGGUGGUCAUCGCUUAAGGUGGACUUGAGAUGUCCCUAGAGGCUCACUCACAGGAUGCCAUGCUGGCUCUUGGGAUGGGCUGUGAGGACUGCAGGUGGGACCUCAGGCCUUUGGCUUCAGGCAGAGCCGGGUUUCCACCUGGGAUCUGCUGUUCCCUUUGUUCCUGGCAGCCUCAGCCUUCUCUGGCACAGUGAGGCCGGUUGGUGAUGGUUGCUGCCUGGAGAGUCAGUGUGAGAGGAGGCUGGUGGCUCCCAGCUGGGUGGCAGUGGUGUCUCUAAGCACAGGUGCUGGUCGCCUAAUGGUGUUGCUUCCUGACCUGCUUGUGCUGUUCGGUUCCUGCAGGCCUCUCCUGCGUUGAGCAACGAGAAGGGCAUGGACGCUGUGUCACCUUGGAAGUCCAGCGCAGUGCCCACUAAACACGCCAAGGUCUUGUUCCGAGCGAGUGGUGGCAAGCCCAUCGCCGUGCUCUGCCUGACUGUGGAGCUGCAGCCCCACGUGGUGGACCAGGUCUUCCGCUUCUAUCACCCGGAGCUCUCCUUCCUGAAGAAGGCCAUCCGCCUGCCGCCCUGGCACACAUUUCCAGGUGCUCCGGUGGGAAUGCUUGGUGAGGACCCCCC